Molecule: ribosomal RNA, 526 nt
Filed under: uncultured bacterium
Lineage: Bacteria
Description: bacterial SSU rRNA
Rfam family: Bacterial small subunit ribosomal RNA
Source: RNAcentral
UAGUCUACGCCGUAAACGAUGGUCACUAGCUGUUCGGAACUUGUUUCUGAGUGGCUAAGCGAAAGUGAUAAGUGACCCACCUGGGGAGUACGUUCGCAAGAAUGAAACUCAAAGGAAUUGACGGGGGCCCGCACAAGCGGUGGAGCAUGUGGUUUAAUUCGAUGAUACGCGAGGAACCUUACCAGGGCUUAAAUGUAGAUUGACAGGUUUAGAGAUAGACUUUCCUUCGGGCAAUUUACAAGGUGCUGCAUGGUUGUCGUCAGCUCGUGCCGUGAGGUGUCAGGUUAAGUCCGUCAACGAGCGCAACCCCUAUUUUCAGUUGCCAGCAAGUAAAGUUGGGGACUCCGGAAAGACUGCCUCCGUAAGGAGUGAGGAAGGCGGGGACGACGGUCAAAUCAUCAUGGCCUUUAUGCCCAGGGGCUACACACGUGCUACAAUGGGUGGGGUACAGAGGGGUAGCGAAGCGGUGACGUGGGAGCCAAUCUCAUAAAGCCUAUCCCAGUUCGGGAUUGGGAGUCUGCAACUC